Molecule: unclassified non-coding RNA, 238 nt
Filed under: Bullera sp.
Lineage: Eukaryota; Fungi; Basidiomycota; Tremellomycetes; Tremellales; Bulleraceae
Description: partial contains 5.8S ribosomal RNA, internal transcribed spacer 2, and large subunit ribosomal RNA
Rfam family: 5.8S ribosomal RNA (bases 1-50)
Source: RNAcentral
CGCAAAUUGCGCCCUUUGGUAUUCCGAAGGGCAUGCCUGUUUGAGUGUCGUAUAGACCUUCACCCGACCAUUUGCUUGGUCGUCGGUGCUUUGGACGUCUUGCCAUUAACCCUGGCUCGUCUUAAAUGUCUGAGUGGAAAACCUUUGACGUGAUAAGUUUUCGUCAAUGACCUUUCACUAUAAUAAACCAUUUUUUAUCUUUGACCUCAAAUCAGGUAGGACUACCCGCUGAACUUAA